GAUAAGCUUGGUGCAAAAGUGAUUGCGGUUUUUGCCAUUGAAAAUAAUGGCAAAAACCGCAAUCACUUUUGCACCAAGCUAAUA
MicroRNA precursor from Gorilla gorilla gorilla (western lowland gorilla), 84 nucleotides. It matches the Rfam family "mir-548 microRNA precursor family". Lineage: Eukaryota; Metazoa; Chordata; Mammalia; Primates; Hominidae. The record is from Rfam.